AUAAAUUAAAUUUAAGUGUUUAUAUGGAUGGUUAUUAUAAUAUAUAUAUAAAAGUUUUUAUAGUAAAGUAGUGGGUAUGGAAAUAAUUUUUUGGUUGUACUGAAGAGGAUAGAUAUUAGGAUUUUAAGUAUAGUAAAAUUUAAAUUUUGUACCUUUUGUAUAAUGGUUUGAUGAUAUUAUUAAGUAUAUAUUUAUUUCUCGAAAUACAAAGAUUUAUUUGCUUUAAUAUAUUAUUAUAUAAUUAGUUAACGUGGUAUAGUUAUUAUUUUAAAGGUAAAUGGUAGUGAAAUGUUAUUCGGUUUGUAUGGUAGCUAGUUUAUUUAUUUUUACAUUUUAGUGUUAGUUAAAAAUUAAUUAUAUAAGUAAUUUUUUUUUGAUUUAAAUAUUGGGGGAUAAGCUUCAUAUAUAGGGUGUAAGAAAGUUUUUAAUAUUAAAUAGUUAAUUAAAGUUGAAUUAAUAUUUUUUCUUGGUUGGUAUAUUAAUAUACUAUAUUUGGUAAAUUUUUUUCUUUAUGAUUAAUUAAAUAAAUUUCUUUAAAUUAUGGAGAGAAAAAUAUAAUGUUAAAAUGAGUAUUAUUUUGUUGAGUAUAUUUAUUAAUUUAUAAAUAAAUUAAUAAUUAAAAUUUAAGGUUAUAUAUAUAAAUAUACAUAUUUUGAAUUAAGUAGAAUUAAGGAAUUCGGCAAAUGAUAAUUUCGCCUGUUUAUCAAAAACAUGUCUCUUUGAGUUUUUUUAAUAAAGAGUUGGGCCUGCUCGGUGAUUAAUAUUUAACAGCUGCGGUAUUAUAACUGUACUAAGGUAGCAUAGUAAUUUGCUCUAUAAAUUGGGGCUAGAAUGAAUGGUUUGACGAAAAUUUAACUGUCUCUAUUUUAUUUAUUAGAAAUUAAUUUUUAUAGUGAAAAAGCUUAAAUUAUUUAAAGGGACGAAAAGACCCUAUUGAGCUUAUAUUAUUUAUUAAAUUAUAUAGUUAUAGUUUAUUAUAAAUUAAUUUUGAUUGGGGUGAUCAAGGAAUAAAUUUUAUUAUUAUAUAACUUCCUUAGUUAAAAUAGUUUUUGGAAAAAUAAACCAAGUUUUUUGCUUAGAAGAUAAGUUACCAUAGGGAUAACAGCGUAAUUUUUUUUGAGAGUUCAUAUUGAAAAAGGAGAUUGCGACCUCGAUGUUGGAUUAAAAUUAACCUUAAGGUGUAGAGGCUUUAUUAGGUAAAUCUGUUCGAUUUUUAAAAUUUUACAUGAUCUGAGUUCAAACCGGCGAAAGCCAGGUUGGUUUUUAUCUUUUAAAUUGUUUUUUUUAUUUGAUUUAGUACGAAAGGAUUAAUUGUGAUUAAUUAUAUUAAUUAAUUUUUUAAGAUUAUAUAA
This is a non-coding RNA of Octopus bimaculoides (California two-spot octopus), 1352 nucleotides long. The record is from the annotation of a RefSeq genome assembly. NCBI's taxonomy places the organism in Eukaryota, Metazoa, Mollusca, Cephalopoda, Octopoda, Octopodidae.